RNAcentral lists this ribosomal RNA (825 nucleotides) under Triticum aestivum (bread wheat). RNAcentral describes it as "partial small subunit ribosomal RNA". The record is from RNAcentral. Lineage: Eukaryota; Viridiplantae; Streptophyta; Magnoliopsida; Poales; Poaceae.
AUGUCUGAAGUAUUUAACAGUUGGAUUUUGCCAGCCAGAGAACUUCCUAUUUACUCGAUGGUUGAAAACAUAAACAACAAGAUCACAGCAAGGAUAUACAGCAAGCAGAUGGAAGUUGCAAAAGAUAAGAAAUGGAGUAUGAGAUUGUGCCCAAAAAUUCAGAAAAAAUUGGACAAGUACACUGAUUGGGCUGCAAACUGCAUGGUCUUUGGAGCUGGUCAGAAGGUUUUCAAGGUUGUGUCAAUGAACCACUCCUACAUAGUGGACUUGGAAAUGGAAACCUGUAACUGCAAGAGAUGGGACUUGUCUGGCAUUCCAUGUCACCAUGCUAUUGCUUGUGCUAGAAAUGAGAGAAUUGACCCUGCAAGCCUAGUGCAUGAUUGUUAUUCAGUAGGGACAUACAAAAGGGCUUAUGCUUUUAAUGUAAAACCAGUGAGGGACCAUGAACAUUGGACUAAGAUGCAUGGCAUUGCUGUAUAUCCACCAGUGUACACUAAGGUAAUGGGGAGACCAAGGAGGAAUAGAAAGAAAGAUCCAGAGGAGAAGUUGAUGAAAGAAGGAGGGAAAAAGUUGACAAAGCAUGGUGUAACCAUGCACUGCUCUCUUUGUGGAAGUGCAGACCACAAUAAGAAAGGCCACAAGAAGUGGGAAGAGACCACAAGAGAUGCUCCUCAACCUGCAAAUGUUACAGAUGAUGAAGAAGAGUAUGAUGAUCCUACAAUCAUUUCUAACAUAAUGCCACACACAGUCCAUCCACACAUGGAUCCAAGUCAAACCCCAGGGUCCAUGGUUUUCCUCAUGCAGCAAAUGGUAACCUUGUCUUGA